RNAcentral lists this ribosomal RNA (228 nucleotides) under uncultured bacterium. RNAcentral describes it as "partial 16S ribosomal RNA". It matches the Rfam family "Bacterial small subunit ribosomal RNA", at positions 568 to 795 of the family's 1533-position model. The record is from RNAcentral.
CGUGUAGGCGGCUUGGUAAGUCAGAUGUGAAAGCCCAGGGCUCAACCCUGGAAGUGCAUUUGAUACUGCCGAGCUUGAGUAUGGGAGAGGAGAGCGGAAUUCCCAGUGUAGAGGUGAAAUUCGUAGAUAUUGGGAGGAACACCCGUGGCGAAGGCGGCUCUCUGGACCAAUACUGACGCUGAGACGCGAAAGCGUGGGGAGCAAACAGGAUUAGAUACCCUGGUAGUC